This 1171-nucleotide long non-coding RNA is filed under the name Piliocolobus tephrosceles (Ugandan red Colobus). Its description in RNAcentral is "lncRNA (ENSPTEG00000009078.1)". Lineage: Eukaryota; Metazoa; Chordata; Mammalia; Primates; Cercopithecidae. The record is from RNAcentral.
CACCACGCCCAGCUAAUUUUUGUAUUUUUAGUAGAGGCGGGGUUUCACCACGCUGGCCAGGCUGGUCUUCAGCUCCUGACCUCGUGAUCCACCCACCUCGGCCUCACAAAGUGCUAGGAUUACAGGUGUGAGCCGCUGCGCCCGGUCAAUCUCUUAUAUAUAUUUUUAAAAAGAUGUUUUCUUUAUUUCCUAGCCCCUUCUACCCACCUACAAAGUUCCGAAGGUUUUAAUGCUAUUGCAACGGCAGUCAGAGGUCAAGCUGGUGCAGCUUCCUGAUGCGGGGCAGCCUCAAAGGGGGCCGACCCUCCCUGCCCAGCACCAGUGGCACCGGGCAGUGGGGGACGCUCCCGAGGUUCCCGGAACCUGGCUGGGGGAAGUGUUGGGGGGUGCACGUACCUAGGCUCAGCUGAGGCGAGUUCGCCGCCGGGGCUGCAGCUGGUGCUGGCUGGCACUUGCGGCGGCCACUGAGGAGCUUCUGGGCGACCUUGCGCUGGUACCCACCAGGCGCCAGCCAGUAGGUGCACAGCGCCUGCUCCAGUAGCGUCAAGUCUUUGCUGCGCGGACCCCGCAGGCCGGGAAGUCAGGCAGGUAUAGUAGUCCAGGUGGAGGUAAAGCUUUUCCUGGUAGCUUAUGGGUGGCGGCCGCUGGAUUGAAGCCUGCGGACAUGACCUACCAGCAGGCCGCCUGGAGUCACCCUCACACGCAAGCGCGCUCCUGGAAGACCCAGCACUCCCACCUCGAGUUCCGAUUGGCUCCGCGUGAGGGGCGGGCCUUUGCGGCAUCUUAGGGGGGCGCCUUCUGCCACGUCACUGGCGGUACAGUUCCUGGAGCUGGGCAGUCUUCUCAGAGUGGAACCUGAUGAUGAUUAUUCUCCAUCUUCUAAGAGACCAAAGACCAACGAGCCACCAGUUCCAGAACCUGCCAAUGUUGGGCAACAGAAAGUGAGGGAGUUCAACUCUGAUCUUUGUCUCCUUGGAGGCCCUCACAAUCCAGUGGAGGAAGUGAAACUCAUCUGCCUCUGUCCCUCUGGGUGCGCCUCAUGCCAGGUGCAUCUGUGGACAUGCGCCAUGCUACUGGGCUUCCAAAGUUGGAGAAAGUUGCCAGGCUCAGUUUUCAGAGAAAUGGAAUAAUCAUAUCGCUGAUCUAUGUAAAUAAGUUGAAGAAUUGUCUG